This 253-nucleotide ribosomal RNA is filed under the name uncultured bacterium. Its description in RNAcentral is "partial 16S ribosomal RNA". It matches the Rfam family "Bacterial small subunit ribosomal RNA", at positions 524 to 776 of the family's 1533-position model. The record is from RNAcentral.
UACGUAGGGGGCAAGCGUUGUCCGGAAUUAUUGGGCGUAAAGGGCACGCAGGCGGUUCCUUAAGUCUGAUGUGAAAGCCCACGGCUCAACCGUGGAAGGUCAUUGGAAACUGAGGAACUUGAGUGCAGAAGAGGAGAGCGGAAUUCCACGUGUAGCGGUGAAAUGCGUAGAUAUGUGGAGGAACACCAGUGGCGAAGGCGGCUCUCUGGUCUGUAACUGACGCUGAGGUGCGACAGCGUGGGGAGCGAACAGG